Molecule: transfer RNA, 71 nt
Filed under: Loxodonta africana (African savanna elephant)
Lineage: Eukaryota; Metazoa; Chordata; Mammalia; Proboscidea; Elephantidae
Rfam family: tRNA
About the family: Transfer RNA (tRNA) molecules are approximately 80 nucleotides in length. Their secondary structure includes four short double-helical elements and three loops (D, anti-codon, and T loops). Further hydrogen bonds mediate the characteristic L-shaped molecular structure. tRNAs have two regions of fundamental functional importance: the anti-codon, which is responsible for specific mRNA codon recognition, and the 3' end, to which the tRNAs corresponding amino acid is attached (by aminoacyl-tRNA synthetases). tRNAs cope with the degeneracy of the genetic code in two manners: having more than one tRNA (with a specific anti-codon) for a particular amino acid; and 'wobble' base-pairing, i.e. permitting non-standard base-pairing at the 3rd anti-codon position.
Source: Rfam by way of RNAcentral
GCAGUGGUGGUUCAGUGGUAGAAUUUUCACCUUCCAUGCAGAAGAACAGGGUUUGAUUCCCGGCCAAUGCA